AUUGAACGCUGGCGGCAGGCUUAACACAUGCAAGUCGAGCGGAGAUGAGGUGCUUGCACCUUAUCUUAGCGGCGGACGGGUGAGUAAUGCUUAGGAAUCUGCCUAUUAGUGGGGGACAACGUUUCGAAAGGAACGCUAAUACCGCAUACGCCCUACGGGGAAAGCAGGGAUCACUUGUGACCUUGCGCUAAUAGAUGAGCCUAAGCCAGAUUAGCUAGUUGGUGGGUAAAGGCCUACCAAGGCGACGAUCUGUAGCGGGUCUGAGAGGAUGAUCCGCCACACUGGGACUGAGACACGGCCCAGACUCCUACGGGAGGCAGCAGUGGGGAAUAUUGGACAAUGGGGGGAACCCUGAUCCAGCCAUGCCGCGUGUGUGAAGAAGGCCUUUGGUGUUAAAGCACUUUAAGCGGGGAAGGAGGGCUACUCUGGUUAAUACCUGGAG
Molecule: ribosomal RNA, 442 nt
Filed under: uncultured bacterium
Lineage: Bacteria
Description: bacterial SSU rRNA
Rfam family: Bacterial small subunit ribosomal RNA
Source: RNAcentral